CAGCAGCCGCGGGAAUACGAAGGGUGCAAGCGUUACUCGGAAUUACUGGGCGUAAAGCGUGCGCAGGCGGUUAUAUAAGACAGAUGUGAAAUCCCCGGGCUCAACCUGGGAACUGCAUUUGUGACUGUAUAGCUAGAGUACGGCAGAGGGGGAUGGAAUUCCGCGUGUAGCAGUGAAAUGCGUAGAUAUGCGGAGGAACACCGAUGGCGAAGGCAAUCCCCUGGGCCUGUACUGACGCUCAUGCACGAAAGCGUGGGGAGCAAACAGGAUUAGAUACCCCAGUAGUCCCUGUCUCUUAUAC
This 301-nucleotide ribosomal RNA is filed under the name uncultured bacterium. RNAcentral describes it as "partial 16S ribosomal RNA". It matches the Rfam family "Bacterial small subunit ribosomal RNA", at positions 509 to 807 of the family's 1533-position model. The record is from RNAcentral.